RNAcentral lists this ribosomal RNA (484 nucleotides) under Mylonchulus sp. NK-2011b. RNAcentral's name for it is "SSU rRNA". It matches the Rfam family "Eukaryotic small subunit ribosomal RNA", at positions 1062 to 1570 of the family's 1831-position model. Lineage: Eukaryota; Metazoa; Nematoda; Enoplea; Mononchida; Mylonchulidae. The record is from RNAcentral.
GUUAAAUAUUGACUCGACGGGCAGCUUCCGGGAAACCAAAGUUUAUAGGUUCCGGGGGAAGUAUGGUUGCAAAGCUUAAACUUAAAGGAAUUGACGGAAGGGCACCACCAGGAGUGGAGCCUGCGGCUUAAUUUGACUCAACACGGGGAAACUCACCCGGCCAGGACACAAUAAGGAUUGACAGAUUGAUAGCUCUUUCUUGAUUUUGUGGGUGGUGGUGCAUGGCCGUUCUUAGUUGGUGGAGCGAUUUGUCUGGUUAAUUCCGAUAACGAACGAGACUCUAGCCUAUUAAAUAGACGAUAUAUCUUAUUAGUAUAUCGAGCUUCUUAGAGGGACGAGCAGCUUCUAGCUGCACGAGAUUGAGCAAUAACAGGUCUGUGAUGCCCUUAGAUGUCCGGGGCUGCACGCGCGCUACAAUGAAAAUAGCAGCGCGUUUCGAAAACCUUUUCUGGAAAGUAUUGGUAAACGCGAAAUAUUUUCGUGA